GCCGCGCCCGGCCCGCCUCCGGCUGCAACCCCGGGUCCCAUGCUCCCCAGCCGCCCUCUCCAUGCAGGGUUAAGCGGAAGAAGCGGGUAUGCCAGGAAGGCGGCUGUUCGGGGAAGAGCCAGAGGGGGGGAGGUGAUGAGAGUCUGCCUGCGGGGGCCAAGCAGGAGAGGAGUCAGGAUUCGCACCAGGGACCGCAUCCUCCGCAAGUCUUCGGAUGUGGGGAGAGAAGCAGGGUAACAUCACCUUAUAGCCCCUUUGGCUGAUCGGUUAGGGCUCCGGGCACGGGGUUGUGUGAACCUGCCUGCUUGUCAGAGGGAAGAAGGGAAAGGGAGCAUCCUCCGCCAGGGUCACUUCCUGAUGAUUUUCAUUGGAUGUGAAGGGCAUUUCACGAUACAUAAACUGGAAGGUAUUUGCAUGUCUUCAGAUACAGCCAAAAAUUAUAUUUCAGCUAAAAUGGACCGAAUGAAUGAAUGGCUGUUGUUGCCACUCCUAU
Molecule: long non-coding RNA, 493 nt
Organism: Thamnophis elegans (Western terrestrial garter snake)
Lineage: Eukaryota; Metazoa; Chordata; Lepidosauria; Squamata; Natricidae
Exons: 2
Source: RefSeq, a predicted model, not a curated record